This 507-nucleotide long non-coding RNA is filed under the name Gossypium raimondii (Peruvian cotton). RNAcentral describes it as "long non-coding RNA (GRAI_LNC008596)". The record is from RNAcentral. Lineage: Eukaryota; Viridiplantae; Streptophyta; Magnoliopsida; Malvales; Malvaceae.
CCCAAAUUAAGAACACACUAUUGUAGAAAUGAAGUUGUUAAAUGUAUCCAUGUAGGGUUAUUAUGUGUUCAAGAAGAUCCAGCUAAAAGGCCUUCAAUAACAAAGGUGGUUCUCAUGCUCGACAGCAACUCGGUUUCGUUGCCGCAACCUCAGAAACCGGCAUAUUUAGCAGAAAUGAGUGGAGUCCUCCAGGAGCAAAGGGGCUUGAAGAAGUGUCUGUCAAUGAAGUGUCGAUAACUGAAAUAGAGCCUCAAUAGAGGAACUCUGGAUUGUACAAAAUACGUACAAAUUGGCAAUGGGUUCUCAUGCUCGACAGCAACUCGGUUUCGUUGCCGCAACCUCAGAAACCGGCAUAUUUCCUUAGUAGCAGAAAUGAGUCGAGUCCUCCAGGAGCAAAGGGGCUUGAAGAAGUGUCUGUCAAUGAAGUGUCGAUAACUGAAAUAGAGCCUCAAUAGAGGAACUCUGGAUUGUACAAAAUACGUACAAAUUGGCAAUGUUUCUGGGUCU